This 75-nucleotide transfer RNA is filed under the name Marmota monax (woodchuck). RNAcentral's name for it is "tRNA.Undet". The record is from RNAcentral. Lineage: Eukaryota; Metazoa; Chordata; Mammalia; Rodentia; Sciuridae.
GGGAGUGAAGCUUAGAGGUAGAGCGCUUGCCUAGCAGCAUGUGCAAAGCCCUGGGUUCAGCCCCCAGCACUUAAA